This 83-nucleotide transfer RNA is filed under the name Termitomyces sp. T159_Od127. RNAcentral's name for it is "tRNA-Gly". It matches the Rfam family "tRNA". From Rfam's summary of the family: Transfer RNA (tRNA) molecules are approximately 80 nucleotides in length. Their secondary structure includes four short double-helical elements and three loops (D, anti-codon, and T loops). The record is from RNAcentral. Lineage: Eukaryota; Fungi; Basidiomycota; Agaricomycetes; Agaricales; Lyophyllaceae.
GCAUUAAUGGGGUAGUGGUAACCUGGGUCGUUGCCAUUCGACGUUGUGUCGACCCGCCGGGGGUUCGAUUCCCCCUUAAUGCA